RNAcentral lists this unclassified non-coding RNA (205 nucleotides) under Hevea brasiliensis (rubber tree). Lineage: Eukaryota; Viridiplantae; Streptophyta; Magnoliopsida; Malpighiales; Euphorbiaceae. The record is from RNAcentral.
UAUGAUCUUGCAGGUGGGACAAAGCUGAGACCAGUUCCCAGUCCAACUGGAAGUAUUGUUCAGAUCAAUAUUCAAUAGUGGAUCCUGAGCAUCAGGUUGACCAGCAACAGCGGUUUUGAUGUAACCUGGAUCUUUACUACUGCAACGAACUAACACUAGAAGUGCGGCAACUGCCAGGGAAACAGCAGUCCAUCCCCAAAGUGCG